RNAcentral lists this long non-coding RNA (637 nucleotides) under Ananas comosus (pineapple). RNAcentral describes it as "long non-coding RNA (ACOM_LNC018111)". Lineage: Eukaryota; Viridiplantae; Streptophyta; Magnoliopsida; Poales; Bromeliaceae. The record is from RNAcentral.
UAUGCAACAAAACGACUUGCAUGAAGAAAUAUAGGGCUUGUUUGGUUCACCUAUUGUAGAUUAUGGAAUCUGAAUGAGAUUUAUUGAUUGUGAUAAUUAUUGUUUAUUUUUCGGAGAAAUCAAAUUUCGAUUCACAUUUCACUCUUGAAUGAAAAAUAAUUAAGUCUAUUUAUAGUCCUAUCUGGCUUUGAAUUUAGGAUUGAUCUGUUCCUAAGUAAGGCUUCGUUUGGAAUUGCGGGGUGUGAAACGACGAUAGAAAAAUAUCAUGUUUGUUUCUGUACGUAAUAUUGCGUUCCGCAUAUUGCGGUUAGUCGGUUACGAUAUAUUUUCUGCGAUUUCAUCGGAGAAAGGAGAAGCAUAUCUCUAUAUGCUUUUUCUCAACUCCAUUCUAUCUAAUAGCGUUAGAUCUGUCUCAAUACCAAACUAAAUCUAAAUCACUUAAAACUUCUCUCGUAAACACUUCGUCCUCCCCUCCCUUCAUCACUCUCGUCUCUCAACCAAAACGCUCUCUCAGAACCCUAGCUAAAUAUUCAUUCCGAUUUCCAUUCAAUAAUAAACCAAAUAUUUUUUGCAUGAUUCUAUUUUCCCAUUUCAAUGCAAUUUAAUUUCAUUUCCAAUUCUCAUUCAAUCACGAAAC